Molecule: ribosomal RNA, 513 nt
Filed under: uncultured bacterium
Lineage: Bacteria
Description: bacterial SSU rRNA
Rfam family: Bacterial small subunit ribosomal RNA
Source: RNAcentral
CAGGAUAAACGCUGGCGGCGUGCUUAACACAUGCAAGUCGAACGGAGUGGUCCUCCCGAAGACCUGAUUGAGCUUGCUCUUGAUGGAAUUCAUUUGGAUCACUUAGUGGCGGACGGGUGAGUAACGCGUGGGUAACCUGCCCUAUACUGGGGGAUAGCAGUUGGAAACGACUGAUAAUACCGCAUAAGCGCACAGCAUCGCAUGGUGCAGUGUGAAAAACUCCGGUGGUAUAGGAUGGACCCGCGUCUGAUUAGCUAGUUGGUGAGGUAACGGCCCACCAAGGCGACGAUCAGUAGCCGGCCUGAGAGGGUGUACGGCCACAUUGGGACUGAGACACGGCCCAAACUCCUACGGGAGGCAGCAGUGGGGAAUAUUGGACAAUGGGGGAAACCCGUGAUCCAGCGAACCGCCGCGUGAGUGAAGAAGUAUCUCGGUAUGUAAAGCUCUAUCAGCAGGGAAGAUAAUGACGGUACCUGACUAAGAAGCACCGGCUAAAUACGUGCCAGCCGCCGC